This 253-nucleotide ribosomal RNA is filed under the name uncultured bacterium. Its description in RNAcentral is "partial 16S ribosomal RNA". It matches the Rfam family "Bacterial small subunit ribosomal RNA", at positions 524 to 776 of the family's 1533-position model. The record is from RNAcentral.
UACGUAGGGGGCGAGCGUUGUCCGGAAUCAUUGGGCGUAAAGCGCGUGUAGGCGGCCCGGUAAGUCCGCUGUGAAAGUCCAGGGCUCAACCCUGGGAUGCCGGUGGAUACUGUCGGGCUCGAGUCCGGAAGAGGCGAGUGGAAUUCCUGGUGUAGCGGUGAAAUGCGCAGAUAUCAGGAGGAACACCAAUGGCGAAGGCAGCUCGCUGGGACGCGACUGACGCUGAGACGCGAAAGCGUGGGGAGCAAACAGG